Contarinia nasturtii (swede midge) is the source of this 2569-nucleotide long non-coding RNA. RefSeq lists it as uncharacterized. The transcript is spliced from 9 exons. Lineage: Eukaryota; Metazoa; Arthropoda; Insecta; Diptera; Cecidomyiidae. The record is from RefSeq and is a predicted model, not a curated record.
CUGGCAACCGUACCAUGGCACUACGGUCAACGUUGCUUGUCAUCGUCGCGCUUUGCUUUUUCUUCUUCUUACGAAAAGGAACAAAAAAAAAACACAUUUAUUUUUUCACACAAAGCAAUUUAAUACAGAAAUUUUCAUUUGUUAUUAACAGAAUAGAAGAAAAAGUCGAGCAAUUAAAAUGCCGGAACGUAAUCGUGGAAGUGGAAGUGAUAGUGAUACACCCAAUACAGCAGCAAAUAUCAAAUACACCAUUUCACCUAGCAUUGAUUUAAUAGCAAAGGACACUUCCGACUUGUGUGGACUUUUGUACAGUGAAGUCGCAGUAUUUCUAAUAGACUGUAAUAUGGAUUCCGAUCCCGAUCAAUUACAUCUGUUAGAAAAAACAUCAACAGAGCUGAGUGAUAUUAUUUUGCCUUCAUUAAGAUUAUCAAAAGUUAAAUUAUCCAAAAAAAAAGGACGAAAUGGAAGAUCAACAUGGCGAUUGUUUGCGCAGUCCAAAUCAAUCCGUCAAGAGAAGAAAAUCGGUUUAUAAAUCACCGGUUUCUAAUAUGGAGCCAACCAUCCCAAAUAUAAUGCGAUCACUAACCAAAUUCGUUGUAUUGUUUGAAUCAAAAGCAGAAUAUAUAGCAACGCGAAGGUCAUUACAAAACCUAGAUAUAGAUAAACUGACUGAACUGGAAGACAUGGCAGAUCUUUUCAUCAGAAGUUCGGAAAAAACACAAGACAUGCUAAAACAAAUAAUUGCAAGGAUGAAGGCGGUUCUCCAUUCUAAUGCUGCCACUACUGCAACGCAUCAACAAUUACCUGCUUAAUUUCGUUCCACCACGCGGUGACCAAACGCCAUUGUCGUAAAUCUCAACAUUCAUCGCAAUACCAAAAUCGCCCAAUAAAUUUAUUUGCAAUUCCAUUUCAUUCCAUUUUUGUACGAAAAGAUCUUAUUCAAAAUCUCUUGGCUAUUUCAAAUCGCUUGAAACUUCACCAGAACCUAAAUUCUGGUCAUAAAUGAUGAUUACUCUUCAUUUCGGACCGAUAUGAUUGAGAAAAGAUGUUUUUAUAUUUUCACAAAAUCUAGUGUUCCAAGGGAUAAAUGAAUCGUUGCGGCGAAACAGUGGCUCUUAUUUUUCUCCAAAUAAUACUGCAACAUGAAGUUUUUUUCACACGGUUUAUUUGUUGUAAUACAACAAAUAAACCAUUCAUACUCUUUCACCGCAAUGAUUCAAAUAAGGGAUCCACCAUGGAAUCGAUAUAGCUCUUGCGCUACCUACUGGUGAGACGAAAACCAAAAAUUACACCGGUAUGUUGUUUCUGACGUCUUAUAGACGCAAAAAAACUAUUUGCCCAACAAAUUCCGAAAAAUGACCUAAAAAAACCACCCUACUUAAACAUUGACCUUAAUAAAUGAAUAAAAUUCCAAAGAUGGAAAAUAAUUGUUUUUUCAACAACAAGUUAGCUUUAGAAAUUCAGUUUGAAAUUGAUUUUUUUCAAAAGAGUGAGGUUAAUUUGACAUUUACCAUUCGUAUGACACUCCAGUUAGUAAAUAAAUACUUCAAAACAUUGUAUAUAGUGUGCAAUGAACACAGUGCAUAAUAAAUGCGUCAAAUAAAAAAAAAACCUUUUGUUGUGUAUUGUGUGCAUUACGUGAUUGAUGUUGAUUUUGUGGUGCUUAAGUAAUUUAUGAGUGAUGAAAAUAGGAUUUAUCUAUACUUUUACCAUAUUGAAGGCAAAAAUAGCAUAAUUUGUCGUGAAGCUUUAGCGCUACACCGUGGUUCGUUUAAUCAGUUUCUACAACAAUUAAUUUUAUUUUGUUUUGCGGUAUCAACGUAUAACGUUCAAUCUCACACAUUUUCACAAUGAAGAUGUUUGGUUUACGUUUGCCAUUUACUCAACGUCAAGCGACAAUGAUUGUUUAUCGGUCCAUUUAUUGCAUUGACUGGCACACAUUAAUCUAAACGGUUAACGUUUUGAAUUCCUGAUGUUAACUGGGUCUAAACAGAUGUUUAACUACUCUGCGUGCGAGACGAUCACAUUGGAUUUCCCAACAAAUGUUCAAAGUAAAUGAGCAUUUCAACAAAAUUUGAAUGAAUUGCAAACAUUCUGUAAUACACCACAUCCAACAUCAAAGCAGUUCGAUGCACUGGAAGAAACAGACAAAUUGCAAGCUUUUCGUGAUUUUUUGAAGAGAAUUCCAGAGAAAGAUUAUCUUGUCCAUUUAGUCUUUGCCAUCAUCAAGUUAUCGGCCACUUCAUUGAAAAACCAAGAGGCUUUGAGUGUGGUCACUGAAUUGUACAAAGAUUGCUAUGAAUAUGCUCAAAAAACAAGCCAGGUGGCUCGUGUAAAUAAUUUUUUCCUAAUGCAAUUGGGUUUGUUGAAGAACGAAGACAAAUCAUUUAAGCCAGCCUAUGACCAGAACGCUUGCCGAAAUGCAUUGCAACAUUCAAUCAAAUCGAAAGUGUUCAACGAUGACGUGGGAGAAAUGUUCAGCCUAUUUUUGCAACAUUUUAAUUAAAACAAAGCAUACACAUUAAUUUAUAAAUUUUAUUUCAUAAUUUUCCAAUGAAUAAACUCGAAC